GACGAACGCUGGCGGCGUGCUUAACACAUGCAAGUCGAACGGUGAAGCGCCUUCCUUUUUGGUGGGUGGGGAUGAGUGGCGAACGGGUGAGUAACACGUGAGUAACCUGCCCUCUCCUUCUGGAUAACCGCAUGAAAGUGUGGCUAAUACGGGAUACUCCGGGUCUGUCGCAUGAUGGGUCUGUGAAAGCUUUUGCUUCGGUGGGGGAUGGGAUCGCGGACUAUCUGCUUGUUGGUGGGGUGAUGGCCUACCAAGGCGGUGACGAGUAGCUGGCCGGAGAGGAUCAACGACACUGGAGGGGAUACGAGACGGAGCAGACUACUAGAGGAGGCAGUGGUGAAGAUUAGUGCACGGUGGGCGGAAUGCUGAAGCAGCAACGCGGCGUGAAAGAUGGAGGCCGUCGGGUUGUGAACCUCUUUCGCGAGAGAAGCAGGCCUGGCUCGUAUGUGGGUGGGUUGACGGUAGCUGGAUAAGAAGCACCGGCUAACUACGUG
Molecule: ribosomal RNA, 494 nt
Filed under: uncultured bacterium
Lineage: Bacteria
Description: partial 16S ribosomal RNA
Rfam family: Bacterial small subunit ribosomal RNA
Source: RNAcentral